CAGUCGCCGCGGUAAGACAGAGGAUGCAAGCGUUAUCCGGAAUGAUUGGGUGUAAAGCGUCUGUAGGUGGCUUUUCAAGUCCGCUGUCAAAUCCCAGGGCUCAACCCUGGACAGGCGGUGGAAACAACCAAGCUGGAGUACGGUAGGGGCAGAGGGAAUUUCCAGUGGAGCGGUGAAAUGCGUUGAGAUCGGAAAGAACACUAACGGCGAAAGCACUCUGCUGGGCCGACACUGACACUGAGAGACGAAAGCUAGGGGAGCAAAUGGGAUUAGAUACCCCUGUAGUCCCUGUCUCUUAUAC
This 301-nucleotide ribosomal RNA is filed under the name uncultured bacterium. RNAcentral describes it as "partial 16S ribosomal RNA". It matches the Rfam family "Bacterial small subunit ribosomal RNA", at positions 509 to 807 of the family's 1533-position model. The record is from RNAcentral.